Molecule: long non-coding RNA, 253 nt
Filed under: Prunus persica (peach)
Lineage: Eukaryota; Viridiplantae; Streptophyta; Magnoliopsida; Rosales; Rosaceae
Description: long non-coding RNA (PPER_LNC004634)
Source: RNAcentral
GAAAUUCAUCCACGUCAAAAUCUAAUCUCAUAUAGCCGUACAUUACGUGACAUGAUUAUGCAUUCCCGAAUGGGAUAGGGCCCUUACCGGAGGCAUAAGGUGACAUUAUGACUUCGUAUGAAGUUGUUGUGAUUGUUGUGUAGUGAUUAUGGUUCUAGGAAUUAUGAGCAGGAGGUGGAUACAAAACCAGAAAAGAUGCGUAGACGAAUACUUGGAUGGAAUCGAGGAUUUUAUUGAGUUUGCACGUACACAC